GGGUCAGUAGGUUGGUCGUGCCACCGGUACGUACUGGUCUCACUGAUUCCUCCUUCCUGAAGAACCGUAAUGCCAUUAAUUUGGUGUUGCGGGGAAACAGGACUGUUACUUUGAAAAAAUUAGAGUGUUUAAAGCAAGCUAACGCUUGAAUACAUUAGCAUGGAAUAAUGAAAUAGGACGAUCAAUCCUAUUUUGUUGGCUUCUAGGAUUGACGUA
RNAcentral lists this ribosomal RNA (216 nucleotides) under Glomeromycotina sp. Its description in RNAcentral is "partial small subunit ribosomal RNA". The stretch from base 40 to 216 matches the Rfam family "Eukaryotic small subunit ribosomal RNA", at positions 686 to 864 of the family's 1831-position model. Lineage: Eukaryota; Fungi; Glomeromycota. The record is from RNAcentral.